Molecule: long non-coding RNA, 462 nt
Filed under: Scleropages formosus (Asian bonytongue)
Lineage: Eukaryota; Metazoa; Chordata; Actinopteri; Osteoglossiformes; Osteoglossidae
Description: lncRNA (ENSSFOG00015031476.1)
Source: RNAcentral
GGGCUUUACUGAGGCUUCCACCAGAACGGUGCUGCUGUUUUGUCGCCUCUGAACUGCUUACUGUACAAUAUUUCCACAGAUAGCAAGUGAAGAGCCUGGUGCGGAUCAUCAUCGAGAUUCGCUCCGAGAAACGUACCUUCACAGCCGGCCCUCGAUCUAUCUAAGAAAGAAGGACCUGGCUGGACCAAAGGGAGAAAAGGUAUGUGGUGCUCGCACUUUGUCUUUUUACGUCUACAUUCUUACUUAUUUGACAAAACAGCUUAUAGUAAUAUCUGAGCCAUUUUACAGCUCUAAGCUGGAGUGAUUUCAGGGAAGGUAAAGCACCUUGUUCAAGCUGCUAUAGCAGGAGUAGGAAAUGGGAGUCAAACAAACUACCCUCGGGUCAAAAGUCCGUGUCUCUAUUCUGUACACGACCUACUGCCCUUAACUGCUGCGUCACCAGGAUGCUACUUUGGACGUUAC